UUGGAGGGCAAGUCUGGUGCCAGCAGCCGCGGUAAUUCCAGCUCCAAUAGCGUAUAUUAAAGUUGUUGCAGUUAAAAAGCUCGUAGUUGAAUUUCGGGAUCAAUAUAUCGGUCGUGCCUUCGGUAUGUACUGGUAUUAUUGGUUUCUCCUUUCUGACAAACUAUGAUGUCAUUAAUUUGGUGUCAUGGGGAAUCGGGACUGUUACUUUGAAAAAAUUAGAGUGUUUAAAGCAGGCACACGCUUGAAUACAUUAGCAUGGAAUAAUGAAAUAGGACGUUUGACCCUAUUUUGUUGGUUUCUAGGAUCGACGUAAUGAUUAAUAGGGAUAGUUGGGGGCAUUAGUAUUCAAUUGUCAGAGGUGAAAUUCUUGGAUUUAUUGAAGACUAACUACUGCGAAAGCAUUUGCCAAGGAUGUUUUCAUUAAUCAAGAACGAAAGUUAGGGGAUCGAAGACGAUCAGAUACCGUCGUAGUCUUAACCAUAAACUAUGCCGACUAGGGAUCGGAUGAUGUUAAUUUUUUAAUGACUCAUUCGGCGCCUUACGGGAAAC
RNAcentral lists this ribosomal RNA (549 nucleotides) under uncultured Glomeromycotina. RNAcentral's name for it is "SSU rRNA". It matches the Rfam family "Eukaryotic small subunit ribosomal RNA", at positions 548 to 1098 of the family's 1831-position model. Lineage: Eukaryota; Fungi; Glomeromycota. The record is from RNAcentral.